GGUGUCCAUUGAGAAGUUCUUAAUUCGUUUCUGUAAGAUAUAUUCAAGGUGGCCUCAUGAAUCCCAUCUGUUAGAGCCCACUCAGUGGAAAGUGAAUGCUUAAAAUGUAGUUUACAGUAAGCAAAUGUUAGAGCAUUUCAAUUUGCCUCAAAACUGCCAGGGGUGGUAUUUGAUUAAAUAAACUCAAUGGCUUAAGUACUUAAAUUGGAUUUGAGAUGUGCAUUAUAAAUGUCACUUGCAAAGCAUUUUCCAGACUUUCAUAGUUCAAUUAGUACAUCCAUUUUCCAGCCUUUGGUUUUGCCCUGAAGAGACUGUAUUUUUACCUCGCAGAAGGAGAAAUGUGCUUACUGUUGAGCACCAAACCCUUUCCUUAGUCCAUGGCUUAAUUGUUUCUAAAAAUUGUCAAUGCCACAGGCAACAAUCAUGUCGGGGAGCACGAUGAGUUUGAAUCAUGAGGCUCCAACACCUCGCAGUCAGCUGGGGCGACAGGCCAGCUUCCAGGAGCGCAGCAGCUCGCGGCCGCACUACAGCCAAACAACUCGGAGCAACACCCUGCCUUCAGAUGUGGGUAGGAAGUCAGUAACCCUGAGAAAAAUGAAACAAGAAAUAAAGGAGAUCAUGUCUCCAACUCCUGUGGAGCUGCACAAGGUGACCUUGUACAAGGACUCUGACAUGGAGGACUUUGGGUUCAGUGUAGCAGAUGGCUUACUGGAGAAAGGAGUGUAUGUCAAAAAUAUUCGCCCAGCUGGGCCAGGAGAUCUUGGUGGCUUAAAGCCCUAUGACAGGCUCUUACAGGUGAAUCAUGUCCGAACCAGAGACUUUGACUGCUGCCUUGUUGUGCCCCUCAUAGCAGAAUCCGGGAA
Molecule: small RNA, 863 nt
Filed under: Pan troglodytes (chimpanzee)
Lineage: Eukaryota; Metazoa; Chordata; Mammalia; Primates; Hominidae
Description: retained intron
Source: RNAcentral